UCCACGUGGAGGAGGAGGAGGAGGAGAAAACAGAUGAGAGGGUGGUGGUGGAGGGGUGAAGGAGUGGGAAGGAGGUGGUGGAGGCUUAAAGGAUGGUGGUGGUGGGUUGAAAGGGUGAGAAGGUGGUGGAGAAGGGUAGAAUGGGAAAUUGAAGUUGUUGGGAUUCGAAGAGGCCAUAAUGGAUCUUAUUCUAUAUAUGUGAUAUGUGAUUACUGAUUAU
RNAcentral lists this long non-coding RNA (220 nucleotides) under Arachis ipaensis. Its description in RNAcentral is "long non-coding RNA (AIPA_LNC001580)". The record is from RNAcentral. Lineage: Eukaryota; Viridiplantae; Streptophyta; Magnoliopsida; Fabales; Fabaceae.